CCAGACUCCUACGGGAGGCAGCAGUGGGGAAUAUUGCACAAUGGGCGCAAGCCUGAUGCAGCCAUGCCGCGUGUAUGAAGAAGGCCUUCGGGUUGUAAAGUACUUUCAGCGGGGAGGAAGGGAGUAAAGUUAAUACCUUUGCUCAUUGACGUUACCCGCAGAAGAAGCACCGGCUAACUCCGUGCCAGCAGCCGCGGUAAUACGGAGGGUGCAAGCGUUAAUCGGAAUUACUGGGCGUAAAGCGCACGCAGGCGGUUUGUUAAGUCAGAUGUGAAAUCCCCGGGCUCAACCUGGGAACUGCAUCUGAUACUGGCAAGCUUGAGUCUCGUAGAGGGGGGUAGAAUUCCAGGUGUAGCGGUGAAAUGCGUAGAUAUGUGGAAGAACACCGAUGGCGAAGGCAGCCUCCUGGGACGCAACUGACGCUCAUACACGAAAGCGUGGGGAGCAAACAGGAUUAGAUACCCCCGUAGA
This 471-nucleotide ribosomal RNA is filed under the name uncultured bacterium. RNAcentral's name for it is "bacterial SSU rRNA". It matches the Rfam family "Bacterial small subunit ribosomal RNA", at positions 331 to 794 of the family's 1533-position model. The record is from RNAcentral.